This 306-nucleotide unclassified non-coding RNA is filed under the name Bombus terrestris (buff-tailed bumblebee). RNAcentral describes it as "misc RNA ENSBTSG00005028063.1". The record is from RNAcentral. Lineage: Eukaryota; Metazoa; Arthropoda; Insecta; Hymenoptera; Apidae.
CCGGCGAGAACGAAUGCAAAAGGCGUACAGUGUGAGUUGGAAAGCGAGAGCGUGCGAGUGCAGAAGCCGAAGACUAGAGUUUUGUAGAGUUGCUAGCGUUGUAGAGAGAUCGAGUUGUUGCGUUAUAGAGUUGCGAGAGUGAUUUGAGUAGAAUAAGAUUUUUGCGUUUAGUUCAAGUUGAACAUUUAUCGUUCUCUGUCCAAUUAAUCUCUGUUAUUUUUAUUUAUCUUAAUAAAUAGUAUUAGGAGAAUUUUACAAAUCUAAAUGAUCCUAAUCCUAUCCUUUUUCCGAUACUACAAUAGUAUA